Molecule: transfer RNA, 72 nt
Filed under: Alosa alosa (allis shad)
Lineage: Eukaryota; Metazoa; Chordata; Actinopteri; Clupeiformes; Clupeidae
Description: tRNA-OTHER
Rfam family: tRNA
About the family: Transfer RNA (tRNA) molecules are approximately 80 nucleotides in length.
Source: RNAcentral
GUGGUUUUAGCUCAGUGGUUAGAGCGUUUGUCUCCCAUGUCAAGGUGGCGGGUUCGAGGCCCGUGAGCGGCG